GAUGAACGCUGACAGAAUGCUUAACACAUGCAAGUCAACUUGAACUUCGGUUUGGGUGGCGGACGGGUGAGUAACGCGUAAAGAACUUGCCUCACAGCUAGGGACAACAUUUGGAAACGAAUGCUAAUACCUGAUAUUAUGAUUAUAUGGCAUCGUAUAAUUAUGAAAGCUAUAUGCGCUGUGAGAGAGCUUUGCGUCCCAUUAGCUAGUUGGAGAGGUAACAGCUCACCAAGGCGAUGAUGGGUAGCCGGCCUGAGAGGGUGAUCGGCCACAAGGGGACUGAGACACGGCCCUUACUCCUACGGGAGGCAGCAGUGGGGAAUAUUGGACAAUGGACCGAGAGUCUGAUCCAGCAAUUCUGUGUGCACGAUGAAGUUUUUCGGAAUGUAAAGUGCUUUCAGUUGAGAAGAAAAAAAUGACGGUACCAACAGAAGAAGUGACGGCUAAAUACGUG
This 454-nucleotide ribosomal RNA is filed under the name uncultured bacterium. RNAcentral describes it as "partial 16S ribosomal RNA". It matches the Rfam family "Bacterial small subunit ribosomal RNA", at positions 28 to 507 of the family's 1533-position model. The record is from RNAcentral.